CAGGGAGAUGGUGUGCAAGCCCUCACGUUUUCAUCUUUUUUAAAGAUGGCAAGAGGGAAGCCUGAAGUCUUCAUCAGGAUACCCACCUGGUUUGACCAGGUUUAAAUUUCUUUUAUACACGGCAAAAGUGGGGCGGAA
RNAcentral lists this small RNA (138 nucleotides) under Nitrospiraceae bacterium. RNAcentral's name for it is "partial 6S RNA". It matches the Rfam family "6S / SsrS RNA", at positions 69 to 187 of the family's 187-position model. From Rfam's summary of the family: E. coli 6S RNA was the first non coding RNA to be sequenced, but its function was unknown until recently. It consists of 184 nucleotides that fold into an extended hairpin structure with a large single-stranded internal bulge. Lineage: Bacteria; Pseudomonadati; Nitrospirota; Nitrospiria; Nitrospirales; Nitrospiraceae. The record is from RNAcentral.